RNAcentral lists this ribosomal RNA (895 nucleotides) under uncultured archaeon. RNAcentral describes it as "bacterial SSU rRNA". It matches the Rfam family "Archaeal small subunit ribosomal RNA", at positions 474 to 1369 of the family's 1478-position model. The record is from RNAcentral.
UACCUGCAGCUCAAGUGGUGAUCAUUAUUAUUGGGCCUAAAACGUCCGUAGCCGGUUUAGUAAAUGCCUGGGUAAAUCGUGUAGCUUAACUAUACGACUUCCGGGUAGACUGCUAAGCUUGAGAUCGGGAGAGGCUAGAGGUACUCCUGGGGUAGAGGUGAAAUUCUGUAAUCCUGGGGGGUACCACCAGUGGCGAAGGCGUCUAGCUAGAACGAGUCUGACGGUGAGGGACGAAGCCCUGGGGCGCGAACCGGAUUAGAUACCCGGGUAGUCCAGGGUGUAAACGCUGCUUGCUUGAUGUUAGUCGGGCUCCGAGCCCGAUUAGUGUCGGAGAGAAGUUGUUAAGCAAGCUGCCUGGGAAGUACGGUCGCAAGACUGAAACUUAAAGGAAUUGGCGGGGGGUAGCACAGCAACAGGUGGAGCGUGCGGUUUAAUUGGAUUCAACGCCGGAAAACUCACCGGAGGCGACGGUUAUAUGAAAGUCAGGCUGAUGACCUUACUCGAUUUUCCGAGAGGUGGUGCAUGGCCGCCGUCAGUUCGUACCGUAAGGCGUUCUGUUAAGUCAGACAACGAACGAGACCCUUAUUUUUAAUUGCUACUGGUAAGUUCGCUUAUCAGGCACAUUAGAGAGACCGCUGGCGAUAAGUCAGAGGAAGGCGAGGGCAACGGUAGGUCAGUAUGCCCUGAAUCCUCCGGGCUACACGCGCGCUACAAAGGCCAGGACAAUGGGCACCUACCCUGAAAAGGGGACGGUAAUCUCCUAAACCCAACCGUAGUUCGAUUGAGGGCUGUAACUCGCCCUCAUGAAGCUGGAAUCCGUAGUAAUCGCGUUUUCAACAUAGCGCGGUGAAUACGUCCUGCUCCUUGCACACACCGCCCGUCAAGGCUUGAGUCG